Molecule: unclassified non-coding RNA, 312 nt
Filed under: Hevea brasiliensis (rubber tree)
Lineage: Eukaryota; Viridiplantae; Streptophyta; Magnoliopsida; Malpighiales; Euphorbiaceae
Source: RNAcentral
AAAGGGGGAAGGAGAAAAUUUGGGAGAGAAGAAGACAUACCUGUUGUGCUGGGCGCGGAGGCGACGGAUGGAAGAUGCCGCCGGAACCCUACUGGCGGCGGAGGUCCGGCGAGGGCGUUGUUGUCGUAGGGGGGUGGUAGAAGGGUCGCCGGAAGACAGGAGUGGCGGCGCUGCGUUGGUGAAGUCGAGGAAGACCUCCUCCCCGACAUGCAGGGAGGAGGGGUGCUUGGAGCGAGGUCGUCGAGGAUGUCGCCGGAGCUCGACUCCGGCGAGUCGUGGAUGUCGAACGGAGUGCUGGAGCUUGGAGCGCCG